CUCCUACGGGAUGCAGCAGUGGGGAAUUUUGCGCAAUGGGGGAAACCCUGACGCAGCAACGCCGCGUGGAGGAUGAAGUAUCUUGGUACGUAAACUCCUUUCGAUUGGGAAGAUAAUGACGGUACCAAUAGAAGAAGCCCCGGCUAACUUCGUGCCAGCAGCCGCGGUAAUAC
Molecule: ribosomal RNA, 173 nt
Filed under: uncultured bacterium
Lineage: Bacteria
Description: partial 16S ribosomal RNA
Rfam family: Bacterial small subunit ribosomal RNA
Source: RNAcentral